UGACCUACAGGCCUGUGCCUUAAUUAAAGCUAUUAGUGUAGACAGCUAAUGACAAGCCGGCAUUCUCAGGCCUUUGCCAGUUUCAAACUUGCCUGAAUUGGAGGAUGGAGCCACCGAUCUAUACCUGGUGCUCACGGCAAGACCAGGUUCUCACCUAAGUGACUGGUCAGUCACUCUUGAAGGUAGAAACAGAAUCCUGCCAGGCAGGCAAAGCGAGGAAAGUGUUCUAUUUUUUCACACCAAUAAUUGGGCCACAGUGACCUCCUGUCUCAGCCUCAGCCUCCUGGGACCAAGUCAUGUGCUCCCUUGCCUUGGCCUUUGCUCCAUUCUGAGGACAUCGCAGAGUAGUGACAUCAUUAACAGCUAGGAUAAGCUAGAGACUUGGAGGGUGUUCUGAAGUGUUCUGAAAAGAAGAAAAGAAUGGCCAAGAAGCACAGAAGAAAAACGGCCAGCUUUACCAGUCAGCAAGUCAGCACAAAUUAAACCACACAGAGGCACAGCUUCAUGCCUGUCAAAAUGGCUGUCCCCAGAAGGAUGCAGCAGCAGCCAGAAGCGGGCACCUAGGGGGCAAAACCUGGAACGCUUCAGGAGCACCUCGAGGCUUGCAAGAAACAGAGCGCGUGCACACACCAGACGGGAAGGGUAUGCAACGCCACCAGCCACAUUCCCCGGCUCGGGGAACAUGGUCAAGCGAGACACGACUGAAGUGAAACACGUAAGGGCAACCGGGCGCCUGACGCGUCCACAAGGACCACGCGAACCACUGAGAAAAGUGCGCGCGGGUCAGCGCUCGGGCCAGAGAGCCGCACCCCUGCCUUCCACACACCACCGGCAUACGGAUGGGAUGGAGAGACGAGGGGCCCGCUGGCAGAACGAGAAGAGUGACCGCCAUUCGCCAUGAAUGUCCGUCCCUCGCCUGGCGCGGCUUAGACCCUGGCCCGAAGAGAACUCAGGAGCACCACAUCGAUCAUAUUAGUGCCAUUAAGGUGGGGUCCGAUCUGCAUUGGAAUAAGAGGGAUGCCCUCCAUGCAAGACACCACUCAAGCAAGCCUCCAGCCAUGAAAGACGAAGAGCUAAGGAAUACUCUGCCCCUGGAAAGGAACAACAAACAAAAGCUGCAGCAAAUGUGUUUCGGGGUAGCCAAGGUCCAGCCCAUCCUGGGAGAUGAAGCUGCCUUAGUGCUGGCCUUAGGGUUAAGAAGAACACAAAAGUAAAGGGGGCCAUGGAAUCGUGCCCUGUGGUUACAGAGCGCUACUGAGGCCAGGCAUAUAGCAGGGAAGGCCCUGCAUGAAACACCCGAGAAGCCGUUGCAUGAAGCUGUGAAGCCUGGGUAUGUACGUUGGAGACAGCAACAUAUGUGGGACCCCAAUAUAUGGGGUGCCCGAGCUGGGAGACAUCUGCCAAGGAGAGCUGCACAGGAGGUGGGACCAGCCCAAGAGAAAGAGAUGUAUCUUGGAGGCAGCAAAGCUGGAAGGGUGGAGCCACUGAAGGCCUUUGACAUCAGACAGAGUUCCAGGAUUCAGAGUUGCCCUGUUGGGUGUUGGUCUUGUGUUGGUACAGCGUUUCCUUGCUAUUACCCAAUUACUAGCUUUUGGAAUGGUAAUGUAUGUUCUAUGCUAUCGUAUGUUGAAAGUGCAUACUUUUUUUUAUUUUAUAGGGGGUUACAGUACAGAUAUUGCCUUGAAUCUCAGCAGAAAAUUGGACAGUGGAGUUUGUUGGGAUUAUGAAAGACUACAGGGAUUUUUGAAGUUGGAUUAAAUGCAUUUUGUCUUAUGAUGUAGCCAUGAGACUAUGGAGGCCAGGAGGGAAAGGUGUGGGUUUGAAUGAGAUGUCCCCCAUAUUCUUAGGUCUCUGAAUACUUGGUUCUCAGUUGGUGACAGUGGGUAGGUUUAGGAAGUAUGGCUUUGCUGGAAGAAAUUUGUCACCAAAGGGCAGGGUUUGAGCUUUCAAAGGCCAUGUGAUGCUCUCAGUGCUCUCUCUCUCUCUCUCUCUCUCUCUCUCUCUCUCUCUCUCCAUGUCUCUUUCCUUCUGUCUCCAUGCCUCUCUGUGUCUGUCUCUUCUCUCUCUGUCUCUCUUUAUCUCUCUGUCUUUUGUGUCUGUCUCUCUGUGUCUCUGUCUCUCCUCUCUAAGUCUUUCUGUGUGUCUCUGUCUGUCUGUCCCUCUGUGUGUGUGUCUGUCUCUCCCUUUCUCUGUCUUUCUCUCUGUCUCUCUGACUAUCUCUCUGUCUCUGUCUCUCUCUGCUCCCUAUUUGCAGUUUGCUCCUGCCACCUGCUACCUCUGCUCUGCAAUCACGAACUUAUCCCCCUAAAACUAUAACCCAAAUAACCCCUUUCUUCUCUAAGUAGCCUUGGUCGUGAUGUUUUGUCAUAGCAAUAGAAAAGUAAGACACAGCGUGUAAGUGUAACACACAGCGUGUAAGUCAGGCUGCUUUGAUUUCACAUUUGUUGGAAGUGAGCUACAGAGCAACUUUGCAUUCUGGGAGCAGUUAUCCGAUGAGUUUAAUAAAUAAUCCACUUAAGCCAGCCAUUAGAAACUA
Long non-coding RNA from Mus musculus (house mouse), 2536 nucleotides. RefSeq annotates it as predicted gene, 51921. Lineage: Eukaryota; Metazoa; Chordata; Mammalia; Rodentia; Muridae. The record is from RefSeq and is a predicted model, not a curated record. The transcript is spliced from 2 exons.